GCACUGCUGAGGAGUCCCACAAUAGGACGAAACGGCCGUCCAGUGU
Schistosoma mansoni is the source of this 46-nucleotide non-coding RNA. The record is from Rfam. NCBI's taxonomy places the organism in Eukaryota, Metazoa, Platyhelminthes, Trematoda, Strigeidida, Schistosomatidae.